This 1717-nucleotide ribosomal RNA is filed under the name Aurantiochytrium sp. LK4. RNAcentral's name for it is "partial 16S ribosomal RNA". It matches the Rfam family "Eukaryotic small subunit ribosomal RNA", at positions 37 to 1492 of the family's 1831-position model. Lineage: Eukaryota; Bigyra; Thraustochytrida; Thraustochytriidae. The record is from RNAcentral.
CCAAAGAUUAAGCCAUGCAUGUGUAAGUAUAAGCGAUUGUACUGUGAGACUGCGAACGGCUCAUUAUAUCAGUAAUAAUUUUUUCGGUAGUUUUUUUUAUAUGGAUACCUGCAGUAAUUUUGGAAAUAAUCCAUGCUGUAAGAGCCCUGUAUGGGGCUGCCCUUAUUAGAUUGAAGCCGAUUUUAUUGGUGAAUCAUGAUAAUUGAGCAGAUUGACUUUUUUGGUCGAUGAAUCGUUUGAGUUUCUGCCCCAUCAGUUGUCCACGGGAGGGUAUUGGACUACGGGGACUAUAACGGGGGACGGAAAGUUAGGGCUCGACUCCGGAAAGGGAGCCUGAAAAACGGCUACCAUAUCCAAGGAUAGCAGCAGGGCCGUAAAUUACCCCCUGGGGACUCCCCGAGGUAGUGACAAAAAAUAUCGAUGCCAAACGGGUAUGCGUUUUGCUAUCGGAAUGAAAGCAAUGUAAAACCCUCAUCGAGGAUCAACUGGAGGGCAAGUCUGGGGCCAGCACCCCCGGUAAUUCCAGCUCCAAAAGCAUAUGCUAAAGUUGUUGCAGUUAAAAAGCUCGUAGUUGAAUUUCUGGCAUGGGCGACCGGGGCUUUCCCUGAAUGGGGAUUGAUUGUCUGGUUGCCUUGGCCAUCUUUUUCCUUGCUUUUUUGGGAAAAAAAUCUUUCACGGUAAUCAAAACAGAAGUGUUCCAAGCAGGUCGUAUGAACCGGUAUGUUUAUUAUGGGAUGAUAAGAUAGACUUGGGGUGCUAUUUUGUGGUUUGACGCCUGAUUAUGGUAAUAAGAACGUUGGGGGGUAUCGUUUAGGAGCUAGAGGUGAAUUCUUGGAUUCCGAAGACGAACUAGAGCGAAGGCAUUAAAAAGUUGGUACAGUAAAAGAUUUUGUAUGAGAAUUUGGGACGUGGGCGCCGGGUUUUCUCCCAAAAUGGGGAUUUAUUUUUUGUUUUCCUUUGCCCUUUUUUUUUUUUUUUUUUUGGGUGAGAUAUUUUUCAGUGUAAUAAAAGCAGAGUUUUCCACACAGGUUGUAUGCCCGGUAUUUUUUUUAUGGGAUGAUAAGAUAGGAUUGGGGUGAUAUUUUGUGGGUUCGCACCCGAGAGAAAGGUUAAAUGGGAACAGUGGGGGGUUUUUGUUUUUGGGAGAUAGGGGUGAAUUUUUGGGUUUUCAAAAAGACGAAAUAGAGAGAAGGCUUUUCCCAAGCAUUUUUUCUUAAAUCAAAAAAAAAAGUGGGGGGAUAAAAGAAGUUUAGACCCCAUUGUAGUAUACCCUGUAAAAGAUCCCCUCUUGAGUUUUUGGGGUUUUUUUUUAUGGGCCUCAGCAGCAGCACAUGAGAAACCAAAGUCUUUGGGUUCCGGGGGGGGAAAGGUUCCAAGGCUGAAACUUAAAGGAAAUUGGGGGAAGGGCCCCCCCGGGGGGGGCCCUCGGGGUUAAUUUUGUUUAACACGGGAAAAUUUCCCAGGUCCAGAAAAAGGUAGGGUUUGCCAGAUUGAGGGCUUUUUCAAGAUUUUAGGGGGGGGGGGGCAGGGCCGUUUUUAGUUGGGGGAGGGAUUUUUUUGGUUAAUUCCGUUAACGAACGGACCUUCGCCCUAAAAAAUAGUGGGGGGUAGGGCAACAAAAUCCUUUUUUACUUUUUAAAGGGACAUUUCCGGUUUACGGGCCGGAAAUUGGGGGCCAAACCAGGUUUGGGAUCCCCUUAAAUUUUUUGGGCCCCCC